GUGGAGAGUAUGUAGGUUUAGUAGCAAAAACUCUUUCAAUCUCCUCACGACGACCUUGGUUACCAAAACUUUCUAACAGGAACUCUCUGAGGGAACUGGUGAGACCAACACCAUAGUUUAUUGUUUGAAUAACUAAAUUGGAACUAGCAUCAUAAUUACCUUCCUCACAGAGUGCCCUAAUCACAAUAUCAUAAGUUGUCACGUCAGGUUUUGGUUCUCUCUCACCCAUCUUGGUGAGAAUAGGCACGCACUCUGCAACCUUGCCUUUCUCAAUCAAGAAAUUAAACCACUUCUCAGCAUAGACUGGAAUGACUCUCAGCCCUGCCUCCACCAUCUUUGUGUACUUCUCCAGUGUGCCUUCGACAUUAUCCAUCUUCACAUAUGCCUCAAUCAUUGUCCUAUAAGUUGUGACAUCUGGGCUCAAUGACUUGUUACACAACUCCAUAUAAUAUUUUUCUGCUUCCUCCAUCAUUUCAAGCUCAGAAAGUUUUGUUAUCAUAUUAUUGUAACCUGCAACAUCCAUUGCAAAAGGUCUGGUCUUGAGGCCCUUCCCCACCUUCUUGAAGGUCUCCAAUGCCUCUGAAACCUUUCCUAGCCUAAAACACUCAUUCACCAUUAAAUUAAAAGUGUCGGAAUUCACAGCCUGGAAUGUUGGUGGCGUGUGAUCAUCCAACAUUGCAUCAAACAAUGCCCAUGCCUCAGUUUCCCUCCCAUGCCUCAACAACACCUCCAACAACACAUUACAAGUUGCAGGAACCAUCCUAUACUUCUUAUCAAGAAGUGAUCGAUAUGAUUCCAUAGCCUCUUUUACCUUCCCCUGCUUGAAAAACCAGUCCAUAAAAGUAGCAUUCACCACCCCAUCAUAAACAGUGCACCUUUCUUUCAACUCAUCAAACAGUUCAUUUGCUUUCUCUAAAUUACCCAAAUUCAAGAACCCCAAUAUCAAAUUAUUAUAAACUAAGGAAUCCGCACCAUGUCCUUUAUUAAGC
Molecule: unclassified non-coding RNA, 989 nt
Filed under: Hevea brasiliensis (rubber tree)
Lineage: Eukaryota; Viridiplantae; Streptophyta; Magnoliopsida; Malpighiales; Euphorbiaceae
Source: RNAcentral